RNAcentral lists this ribosomal RNA (465 nucleotides) under uncultured bacterium. RNAcentral's name for it is "bacterial SSU rRNA". It matches the Rfam family "Bacterial small subunit ribosomal RNA", at positions 34 to 518 of the family's 1533-position model. The record is from RNAcentral.
CGCUGGCGGCAUGCUUCAUACAUGCAAGUCGAACGAUAAGGUCUCUUCGGAGAUACAUAAGUGGCGGACGGGUGAGUAAUAUGUAGGAAAUCUGCCCUUGAGAGGGGGACAACAGAGGGAAACUUCUGCUAAUACCCCAUAUGAGCGUACCUGAAAUGGUAUUCUUGAAAACUCCGGUGCUCAAGGAUGAGCCUGCAUCUGAUUAGCUUGUUGGCGGUGUAAUGGACCACCAAGGCGACGAUCAGUAGCUGGUUUGAGAGGAUGAUCAGCCACAAUGGGACUGAGACACGGCCCAUACUCCUACGGGAGGCAGCAGUAGGGAAUUUUGCGCAAUGGGCGAAAGCCUGAACCGCAGCAAUGCCGCGUGAACGUAGAAGCCCUUCGGGGUGUAAAGUUCUGUCAGUGGGGACGAAUUUUGACGGUACCCACAGAGGAAGCACCGGCUAACUCCGUGCCAGCAGCUGC